CGACCAGACUCCUACGGGAGGCAGCAGUGGGGAAUAUUGCACAAUGGGGGAAACCCUGAUGCAGCGACGCCGCGUGAGCGAUGAAGUAUUUCGGUAUGUAAAGCUCUAUCAGCAGGGAAGAAAAUGACGGUACCUGACUAAGAAGCCCCGGCUAACUACGUGCCAGCAGCCGCGGUAAUACGUAGGGGGCAAGCGUUAUCCGGAUUUACUGGGUGUAAAGGGGGCGCAGACGGCGAUGCAAGCCAGGAGUGAAAGCCCGGGGCCCAACCCCGGGACUGCUCUUGGAACUGCGUGGCUAGAGUGCAGGAGGGGCAGGCGGAAUUCCUGGUGUAGCGGUGAAAUGCGUAGAUAUCAGGAGGAACACCGGUGGCGAAGGCGGCCUGCUGGACUGCGACUGACGUUGAGGCCCGAAAGCGUGGGGAGCAAACAGGAUUAGAUACCCUCGUAAC
RNAcentral lists this ribosomal RNA (449 nucleotides) under uncultured bacterium. RNAcentral's name for it is "partial 16S ribosomal RNA". It matches the Rfam family "Bacterial small subunit ribosomal RNA", at positions 328 to 794 of the family's 1533-position model. The record is from RNAcentral.